GUGCCAGCAGCCGCGGUAAGACGUAGGGUGCAAGCGUUGUCCGGAAUUAUUGGGCGUAAAGAGUUCGUAGGCGGUUUAUCAAGUCUGGUGUUAAAGCCCGAGGCUCAACCUCGGUUCGGCACUGGAUACUAGUAGACUGGAGUACAGUAGAGGCAAGGGGAAUUCCCAGUGUAGCGGUGAAAUGCGUAGAUAUUGGGAGGAACACCAGUGGCGUAAGCGCCUUGCUGGGCUGUUACUGACGCUGAGGAACGAAAGCCAGGGGAGCAAAUGGGAUUAGAUACCCCAGUAGUCCUGGCUGUAAACGAUGGAUACUAGGUGUUGCGGGUAUCGACCCCUGCAGUGCCGCAGCUAACGCAAUAAGUAUCCCGCCUGGGGAGUACGCACGCAAGUGUGAA
Molecule: ribosomal RNA, 395 nt
Filed under: uncultured bacterium
Lineage: Bacteria
Description: bacterial SSU rRNA
Rfam family: Bacterial small subunit ribosomal RNA
Source: RNAcentral